This 468-nucleotide ribosomal RNA is filed under the name uncultured bacterium. Its description in RNAcentral is "partial 16S ribosomal RNA". It matches the Rfam family "Bacterial small subunit ribosomal RNA", at positions 28 to 507 of the family's 1533-position model. The record is from RNAcentral.
GACGAACGCUGGCGGCGUGCUUAACACAUGCAAGUCGAACGGAAAGGCCCUGCUUUUGUGGGGUGCUCGAGUGGCGAACGGGUGAGUAACACGUGAGUAACCUGCCCUUGACUUUGGGAUAACUUCAGGAAACUGGGGCUAAUACCGGAUAGGAGCUCCUGCUGCAUAGUGGGGGUUGGAAAGUUUCGGCGGUUGGGGAUGGACUCGCGGCUUAUCAGCUUGUUGGUGGGGUAGUGGCUUACCAAGGCUUUGACGGGUAGCCGGCCUGAGAGGGUGACCGGCCACAUUGGGACUGAGAUACGGCCCAGACUCCUACGGGAGGCAGCAGUGGGGAAUACUGCACAAUGGGCGGAAGCCUGAUGCAGCAACGCCGCGUGCGGGAUGACGGCCUUCGGGUUGUAAACCGCUUUCGCCUGUGACGAAGCGUGAGUGACGGUAAUGGGUAAAGAAGCACCGGCUAACUACGUG